AACGCUGGCGGCGUGCCUAAUACAUGCAAGUCGAGCGGAUCUUCAUUAGCUUGCUUUUGAAGAUCAGCGGCGGACGGGUGAGUAACACGUGGGCAACCUGCCUGUAAGACUGGGAUAACUUCGGGAAACCGGAGCUAAUACCGGAUAAUCCUUUCCCUCACAUGAGGGAAAGCUGAAAGACGGUUUCGGCUGUCACUUACAGAUGGGCCCGCGGCGCAUUAGCUAGUUGGUGAGGUAACGGCUCACCAAGGCAACGAUGCGUAGCCGACCUGAGAGGGUGAUCGGCCACACUGGGACUGAGACACGGCCCAGACUCCUACGGGAGGCAGCAGUAGGGAAUCUUCCGCAAUGGACGAAAGUCUGACGGAGCAACGCCGCGUGAGCGAUGAAGGCCUUCGGGUCGUAAAGCUCUGUUGUCAGGGAAGAACAAGUACCGGAGUAACUGCCGGUACCUUGACGGUACCUGACCAGAAAGCCACGGCUAACUACGUGCCAGCAGCCGCGGUAAUACGUAGGUGGCAAGCGUUGUCCGGAAUUAUUGGGCGUAAAGCGCGCGCAGGCGGUUCCUUAAGUCUGAUGUGAAAGCCCCCGGCUCAACCGGGGAGGGUCAUUGGAAACUGGGGAACUUGAGUGCAGAAGAGGAGAGCGGA
RNAcentral lists this ribosomal RNA (650 nucleotides) under Bacillus sp. YIM DKMY67. RNAcentral's name for it is "bacterial SSU rRNA". It matches the Rfam family "Bacterial small subunit ribosomal RNA", at positions 32 to 665 of the family's 1533-position model. Lineage: Bacteria; Bacillati; Bacillota; Bacilli; Caryophanales; Bacillaceae. The record is from RNAcentral.